This 539-nucleotide ribosomal RNA is filed under the name Lysinibacillus sp. RNAcentral's name for it is "bacterial SSU rRNA". It matches the Rfam family "Bacterial small subunit ribosomal RNA", at positions 333 to 864 of the family's 1533-position model. Lineage: Bacteria; Bacillati; Bacillota; Bacilli; Caryophanales; Bacillaceae. The record is from RNAcentral.
AGACUCCUACGGGAGGCAGCAGUAGGGAAUCUUCCACAAUGGGCGAAAGCCUGAUGGAGCAACGCCGCGUGAGUGAAGAAGGUUUUCGGAUCGUAAAACUCUGUUGUAAGGGAAGAACAAGUACAGUAGUAACUGGCUGUACCUUGACGGUACCUUAUUAGAAAGCCACGGCUAACUACGUGCCAGCAGCCGCGGUAAUACGUAGGUGGCAAGCGUUGUCCGGAAUUAUUGGGCGUAAAGCGCGCGCAGGCGGUCCUUUAAGUCUGAUGUGAAAGCCCACGGCUCAACCGUGGAGGGUCAUUGGAAACUGGGGGACUUGAGUGCAGAAGAGGAAAGUGGAAUUCCAAGUGUAGCGGUGAAAUGCGUAGAGAUUUGGAGGAACACCAGUGGCGAAGGCGACUUUCUGGUCUGUAACUGACGCUGAGGCGCGAAAGCGUGGGGAGCAAACAGGAUUAGAUACCCUGGUAGUCCACGCCGUAAACGAUGAGUGCUAAGUGUUAGGGGGUUUCCGCCCCUUAGUGCUGCAGCUAACGCAUAAG